This 114-nucleotide ribosomal RNA is filed under the name Erysipelotrichaceae bacterium. Lineage: Bacteria; Bacillati; Bacillota; Erysipelotrichia; Erysipelotrichales; Erysipelotrichaceae. The record is from RNAcentral.
UCUGGUGAUUAUGGCGAGAUGGUCACACCUGUUCCCAUCCCGAACACAGAAGUUAAGCAUCUCAACGGCGAAUAUAGCUAUGCCCGCCAUAGUGAAACUAGCAAAUUGCCAGGU